This 664-nucleotide ribosomal RNA is filed under the name uncultured bacterium. Its description in RNAcentral is "bacterial SSU rRNA". It matches the Rfam family "Bacterial small subunit ribosomal RNA", at positions 8 to 705 of the family's 1533-position model. The record is from RNAcentral.
AGAGUUUGAUCCUGGCUCAGAAUCAACGCUGGCGGCGCGCUUAACACAUGCAAGUCGCACGAGAAAGGGAGCAAUCCUGAGUAAAGUGGCGUACGGGUGAGUAACACGUGGAUUAUCUACCUUUUAGUGGGGAAUACCUCCGGGAAACUGGAGACAAUACCGCAUAAGCUCGAAAGAGGAAAGCAGCAAUGCGCUGAAAGAGGAGUCCGCGGCUGAUUAUGCUAGUUGGCGGGGUAAUGGCCCACCAAGGCGAAGAUCGGUAGCCGGCCUGAGAGGGCUCACGGCCACACUGGCACUGAAACACGGGCCAGACUCCUACGGGAGGCAGCAGUGGGGAAUCUUGCACAACGGACGAAAGUCUGAUGCAGCGACGCCGCGUGAGCGAUGAAGCCCUUCGGGGUGUAAAGCUCUUUCGACGGGAACGAUAAUGACGGUACCCGAAGAAGAAGCUGCGGCUAACUACGUGCCAGCAGCCGCGGUAAUACGUAGGCAGCGAGCGUUGUUCGGAAUUACUGGGCGUAAAGAGUGUGUAGGCGGUGCUCUAAGUCUGUUGUGAAAUCUCCCGGCUUAACCGGGAGGGUGCGGCGGAAACUGGAGUGCUUGAGGGUGGGAGAGGUAAGCGGAAUUCCUGGUGUAGCGGUGAAAUGCGUANAUAUCAGGANGA